ACGACCUGGAUACCUGUGAGGUCACGGUGGAGGGAGAGGAGCUGAACCACGAGCAGGAGAGCCUGGAGGUGGACAUGGCCCGCCUGCAGCAGAAGGGCAUUGAAGUGAGCAGCUCUGAGCUGGGCAUGACCUUCACAGGCGUGGACACCAUGGCCAGCUACGAGGAGGUUUUGCACCUGCUGCGCUAUCGGAACUGGCACGCCAGGUCCUUGCUUGACCGUAAGUUUAAGCUCAUCUGCUCAGAGCUGAAUGGCCGCUACAUCAGCAAUGAAUUUAAGGUGGAGGUGAGUACAAGGCUCCCACUGAGCAGGGCCAA
This 316-nucleotide long non-coding RNA is filed under the name Pan troglodytes (chimpanzee). RNAcentral describes it as "long non-coding RNA NONPTRT000873". The record is from RNAcentral. Lineage: Eukaryota; Metazoa; Chordata; Mammalia; Primates; Hominidae.